This 71-nucleotide transfer RNA is filed under the name Olea europaea subsp. europaea. RNAcentral describes it as "tRNA.Pro". It matches the Rfam family "tRNA". Rfam says of the family: Transfer RNA (tRNA) molecules are approximately 80 nucleotides in length. Their secondary structure includes four short double-helical elements and three loops (D, anti-codon, and T loops). Further hydrogen bonds mediate the characteristic L-shaped molecular structure. tRNAs have two regions of fundamental functional importance: the anti-codon, which is responsible for specific mRNA codon recognition, and the 3' end, to which the tRNAs corresponding amino acid is attached (by aminoacyl-tRNA synthetases). tRNAs cope with the degeneracy of the genetic code in two manners: having more than one tRNA (with a specific anti-codon) for a particular amino acid; and 'wobble' base-pairing, i.e. permitting non-standard base-pairing at the 3rd anti-codon position. The record is from RNAcentral. Lineage: Eukaryota; Viridiplantae; Streptophyta; Magnoliopsida; Lamiales; Oleaceae.
GGCAUUUGUUCUAGUGGUAUGAUUCUUGCUUUGGAUGCAAGAAGUCCCUGAGUUCAAUUCUCAUAAUGCCA